GUGUCAGCAGCCGCGGUAAUACGGAGGGGGCCAGCGUUGUUCGGAAUCAUUGGGCGUAAAGGGCGCGUAGGCGGCUUUGUAAGUCCGUUGUGAAAUCCCUCGGCUCAACCGAGGAACUGCGACGGAUACUGCUUGGCUUGAGUCCCGGAGAGGGUAGCGGAAUUCCCAGUGUAGCGGUGAAAUGCGUAGAUAUUGGGAGGAACAUCGGUGGCGAAGGCGGCUACCUGGACGGGUACUGACGCUGAGGCGCGAAAGCUAGGGGAGCAAACAGGAUUAGAAACCCCCGUAGUCC
RNAcentral lists this ribosomal RNA (292 nucleotides) under uncultured bacterium. Its description in RNAcentral is "partial 16S ribosomal RNA". It matches the Rfam family "Bacterial small subunit ribosomal RNA", at positions 505 to 796 of the family's 1533-position model. The record is from RNAcentral.